Molecule: non-coding RNA, 151 nt
Organism: Arachis ipaensis
Lineage: Eukaryota; Viridiplantae; Streptophyta; Magnoliopsida; Fabales; Fabaceae
Source: RefSeq, a predicted model, not a curated record
CCAACCGGUUCAGAAGGCGCUGCGGUUCAGUUUAGCCGUUCUCUCUUAGUUUCAGAGUUAGAAUCUGAGUUUACUUGUGGCAUUGAGGUUGUUUCUACUAUUGAGAAAGACACGCGGAACCGGGAUUUUGAUUGUCGAUUUCGGGUUGAGG